Molecule: long non-coding RNA, 8132 nt
Filed under: Jatropha curcas
Lineage: Eukaryota; Viridiplantae; Streptophyta; Magnoliopsida; Malpighiales; Euphorbiaceae
Description: long non-coding RNA (JCUR_LNC001836)
Source: RNAcentral
GGAUCAAAGGGCUGAUUCAAGGCGCUGAUUGAUGAAGCACUUCUUUGGGAUUGUACUCCACUAUAGUCCAUGUCACCUGCACUGGAACUCCAAAAAUCGUCGGGUAUGCUGUGUUGCUUUGCUCUUUCGUCUUUAAUUCUCAGUCCCUUUGAUGAUUGAUCAACCGCGUUAAUUGUAGAAGGUUUAGCACAGCAUCCAAAACAACCUCUGCUCUGUUACAAAUCAGGUUUCACCAUAAACAUGAUUACCACCAGUGAUCAACAAAUUAAACCUCAUUUCAGCUAUAGCAGCUUGAUUGAAGACUGACAAGGUUCCACAAAUUAAAAAAAGUGUGCUAGAAGAAUAAAAUCAAGCAUUCUCAUAUUGAAACACAGUUUCGUUUGUUAAGCUAUACGUCCUGGUGGGUCCUCCACCAGAAAAAAGGAGAAAAAUAUCAAGAAAAGAGAAAGUGGCAAACUAGAAAACUAAUUCUAGUCUUGCAGCAUGUUGUUAAGUGAAAAAAAAUCCCAACGGCAAUCACAUCACAUUCUUUGGCCCAAAAAGAAAAUUACAAAGUAUGAUAGUCUACUAAGCAAGCCAAAAAAAUAUUUCAUUAAAAUAUCUCCAAUGCCAAUAUCCAUUAAAACAAACAGAGCUUAGCAUGACCAAAAUCAUCGCAAGGAUAUAAAUUUCAUCAUCAAAUUAAAAGUUAUUAUCUACUAGGUCUACGAAGACUGGAACCAAAUUGUUCAAUAUAUCAUUUUUGACCCACAGAAAGCUAAAAUUUCAUAGAUUAGCUGUCUCAGUGUGCAUGUAUGAUAUUUGUAUCAUAGUUGCUCCAAAUUAGCUUAGCUGAAACAAAGUUCAAUUGAAGCCAGGAAACAACACUACUGCUAAACAAUGCGUGUAUUCAGCAAAAAAAGAGAAGAAAAGAAAAGAACAGCCAUCCUCUCUUGGCACAUACUUAAAAAGACAAGAAAUGGACAAAAUUUCCGUACACUGAAAAGGGUCUUGCAUUUGUUCUGAAGUGAUUCCAUGGUGACGAACAGAGCAGACCGGAAACAAGCACCAGAAAACAAUACAAAUGAACAGCAGGGAUUCUUCUUAAAGCAUCCCUCUGUUUGGGUAGAGAAACAACACCAAGAAUACAUGAUACCAACAAAAUCCUAUGCUAAAGAAUAAUAGCCCAAUCUAUGGCAUAUCGGAUUGACCAUCACCUGAAGGAAAGAAUGACAAAUACAGAAUAAAAAGCAGAGCAUGUUUCUCUGUUCACUCCACUCAAUCUCGCUUACAGAAUAAGCAACACAAAAACAUAAAAGAUUCUAAACCAAGUGUAAAAGUAAACUUAGACUACAGUAUUGAUCAUCCUUCUGUUUUAGUGAUCCGGAGAGCUAAAGGACAAUAUUACAAGAUAAAUUUUUAUAGGCGUUUGAUCUUUUGUGAUAAAGGCAUAAUUAAUAAAAAAAAAUUUCUCCAGAACCAAACAGAAUUCAUUAAUGAUAUAUAGUUCAAGAAACCGAAAAGCUUACCCCAUGCAUGCAAUAAAAUGACAGAUCCAGGAAGGAGUAAAUCUACAAAUAUGCAUUUACAAGCGCCACGCAAGAGAUGUUGAUAAUGAAACCCUAAUUUUAGGGAGGAGAGACCUAACAAUCCUGCACAGUAAUCAAAACAACCCAAUCAAAUCCAUUAAAUAAACAAACCUUUUCAGUUAAAAACCUUUCCAUUGAAAUCUUCUGCUGACAAUCAGAGAAAAGAAUGACACAGAACUAAAAAAAAACAAAAAAACUAGCAAAUACAAGAAAUAGAAGUUGUUGUUGUUUCCUCAGAAAAAUUUUCUUUUUUUUGUUAAAAAAAAAAAGGAAAAUUAGGUGAGACCUCAAAAAUGGCAUGGUUGGAGAUUAUGGGUUCUUCUCUCCUUCCUUUGAAAAAUUUGCUCUUUGGCUACUGUACUGAUUCAACCAAAGAGAUCUUCCUUCCUGUGUGCCUCCCUUUUAAGUUUUUACAGUAAAGUCAGUCUCUUUGUUGUGCAGUUGUUUCUCAAACAAAUUUAUUUGCUGCCCAGAAAAAGUCGGUAAUUGGUAUAUAAUAUAGUGUUUAUCUGUAUAAGUUAAAUAAUCCGAAUUUUUGGCACACCUGUUUCGUACUUUACGACUACCUGUUCUGGUUAACUGAGGGACAUCAUGGGGCCCAAUGUUAAAUACAGAUCGUUGGUCAUAUCUACGGUUAAGAUUAUUUCCAAGAUUCACUUCCGUUCAUCCAUUUCUUGAUAUAAUUUAUGAAAAGUUGUUGCUAAACAAAACAUGAAUGCUUCUGGGUAACGGCUGAUUUAGUCCAAUACAAGUAAAUGAAAUUCCUUUUCCAAAAAAAUAAAAAAGAAAUAUUUGCAACCUAACCCAUAAGAGCGAUAGUGAGACCCACAAUAAAACAAUAAUACAAAGAAUUAUUAUUACUAUUAUUAAUGUAUUUGGUAAAGUGUGACAAUGAUUAAAUUCAAUAAUUGUUCUUGCAUUUGGUAAUGGUUAAUUAUCAUACAAUGUGUUGCUGAAGCUAGGUGGUGAGAAUUGGAGGAAGGAAUUCAGAUAUGUUGCCAAGAAUGCGAGCUUUGGUGUCAGGGAAAUGCUCAAAUCCUGGCAGAGUUGUAACAGUACCAUUGUUGGUGAUUUCAAUGGGAUAACGAAGAAGGUGACCUAUAAGAUCUUGAUCAAAAACUUCACUUGAAUAACUUUCCCAAAGUUCAUCAGCAAUCUUAUUCACUAGUUGAAUACAUUCUUCACUUUCAGGAUAUUGAAAAGAGGGUUCUAAGAGUCCAAGGUGCUCAUACCAUAAUGCCAAUCUAAAUCCAUAUAUUUGACCCCUUGCUGGCUGUGCUGUUGCUAGAUGAUGAGGUUGAAAUGCUCCCAUUGCGAUCUCUGAGUCUCUUGCACCAUCCAUUGACCUCUGGUUGAUGUUGGCUGAUCCGAUGAUUAUGUACUCAUCAUCAACUAUUUUCAUAUUUGGUAUGAAAGAAAAUGUUAAUUUUACUCAGUUUUAUGGAAUUCAAUAUAAUUAAACUAAAUUUGAAAUGAUUAUGUUAUGAUUAUGUAAAUAUGAGUUGAUCACUCACCGAUCAUCAUUUUGGCAUGAACAUAGAUCAUGAAGCGACGAGCCUGUUGAGCUCUACUAUAAUCAGAAUCAGGUUCUGGUGUUUCUGGAGGUGCAUAUUCUCCAAUCUUCUUUGUCUCUCUGUUACCUAGGCAAAAAAAUGAUAAAUAUUCUCUAGGAUUUGCUUUAAUUCCAUUCCUUUUAAGUGCUUCAGUAAUAUCAUAAUACAUCAUCUCCAUUGUUCUUCUUUGCCAAUCUAGAAUUGCUUGAACUGAAUCACUCUCAGGAAUACCUUCAGGCCACAUUGGAAUCACAAUGUAAACUGUAAACCUUUCUCCUGCAUCUAUUUUACUAACUAUUUUUAAUGAUAGCUCUUUCGGAAUAAGAUGCAAGGCAUUGAUGUCCUCAUCUCUUAUAUCUUUUGAUUUCCAAUCAAAUGAGCUUCCAAUGAAAUACUGAUUUUCUAUGUAGAUAAAAUUCUUUGCCCGCCGAAUUGCAUUUAUAUAAGCAUCUUGAAUGCUUCUAUCAAUGAUGUUGUCUUUUCCACUUACAAGGCCAACUGCAGCUGCAUCUUCAGGCCUUUCAGGAAAGCCAACAACAGCACCACCAUCAAUGGAACGAAAUAAUUGAACAUUCCAUGUCUCUGUGUCUGCAGAUUGCAACACAGGCAAUGGCCGAAUUAUGUUUGCUUCAAGUUCAUAUUGUGGAAUCAGAAACUUUUCUCCAACUUGCUUUUUCCACCUCUGUUCAAAAUUGUAAAGAACAUCCCAAGCUACGGGCCCUUCUAGCUUACAAUGAAUAUCAUGCCAAGGCUCUCUUGGACCGCCUUUAUUGAUCGAUGCGCCUUCAAAGUUUCGUUGAUGAAAGUCAUCAUGAUGGAUUGAGUUCAAAGUCUUGAAUAGAGGAUGAUCUUGUGUAUCAUAUCUUCCAUCACAUAAAUCAAUGCCUCCAAUAAAACUGACAAUUCUUCUUUUAUUCGAUGUGUCGUCAGGCAUUUCACAGUCAACAACAACUGUUUUCUGAUGGUGAGUAAACAUAGUAGAGAUUGCAAAUCCUUGAACUUUGCUUCUUCCAUCAUCAGGAUUUCGAGGGCGCAAAACGCAAUGCACUUUUGUGUUCUUGAAAUAGAUCUUAGUUUCUUGACCAUGGGUUGCCAUCAGACCAUCCUUUUUUAGGUGCUUAACAGAAGUUCUAUCUUUCCAAACUAACACAAGAACUGUAACACCUUCAUCAGCUUUUUUCUUCAGUAACUCUCCAAGUUUGACCUCUCCUCCUGGUUUAGGCCUAUAAGGAUCUCUUACCAGAGUUAUUUCAGUAUUCACAGACCAACCAGUUAUGUAAAUCAAAUGCUUAGCAUUACUAAUAGCAUCAAAAAUUUCUUCCCAGCAUCGAUGAGCUUCGUAGCUUUUUCCUCCUAAGAGAAUUCUGGGAAUAAAAUUGUUAGGAACAUGAGCAUCCUGAUAUAAAGUAACACGACAACCAUGUCUUUGAUUAAAGAAUGUGUAAGGAACUCCAUCGUAUCGCGGAUUUUUUAUUCCUUGAGACCAAUUAGUGUCUUGUGUGACACUAACAUAUUGCAGCUUGACGUGAAUCUUGGAGCCAAUGGGAUUGUGUAGUUCAUCCAAUAUCUCGACCCAUCGGUCUAUUAUAUACCCUUUGAUGACAUCUUCAACUGGGAUAUAAGCUCUGCCAAUUAAUGUUGCCCCAGCAAGUUGAUCAUCUUUCACUGUGAAUAUUACAUUUGAGAUCAGAUGGGCACAGUAUAUGUGGAAAGACUCGAACCAUUGGGGGUUAUAAGGUUGAUUUGUUAUCAUUCUUGUUCUUCCAACUCUUGCCUUGUCAAGAUCAACUGUUGCAUACAGUUUAGAACAAACUAUCUGGAAAACAAAUUUAAUGAUAAUUGUCACAUUGGAAGAAGAAAAAAAUUGUUUAUGAGAGAUAUUUUUCAGUGCAAGAAAAGAAGAAAGGAUUACCUCAGGUCUACAAAGCACCAUUCUUUUCAUUUUGGAUAGAAAUCUUUUUCCACAAUUUUGCUGUCCAAUACCCUCCAAAUUUUAAGGAAAUAAAACACAAAAGUAAAACGGGUUAAGGGAUUGAAAAAAUCUAUAAUUACAUUAAAUUGCAAUUUGGAAUCGGACGAUAGCUUGAAAAUAUUAUUAUUAUUAUUAUUAUUAUUGUUGCUGCUGCUUUAUGCCUUGUCUUUCUAUCCUGGGCUUAAAGCCGUCGCUAAAACGUGGGCCUCGAUGGGCCCAUUUUCUUCCUUAGACUAACAAGCAGUGGAUCUCGACGGCACAAGAUCCAGCAAAACAUCACAAGCAACUAAGCAAAAACAAAAUUAUUAUUUUUUUAUUUCAUUAGGAGGCACGAUGAAUUGCAAUAAUAUUUAUGAUUUAUGGCCAAGUAAUAAAGAUAAAACCAAUGAAAAUUUUUAUGGCUGAGAAAAUUCGAACCGAAGACCUUCUACUUCUCGUAUUAGUGAUUAGAGAGAAGAUGAAUAAAAAAAAUUGCCAAUAAUUUAAUUUCUCAAAUUGUGAUAUUCUGUUCUAGACUAAAGAUAAAGAAAAAAGGAUAGAGGAUAAAAAAUUAUUAGGAAGCAACACCUAUUCACCCACUAACUUCUAAUCAGAAUUAAAGGCCAACAAGAAAAAUCUUUUGUUAUCGUGUGAUCUAGCAUUUUGGGAUUCUUAUAAUUUUUUUUUUUUCAAUUCAUAUAAUCAAGUGACAUUUCAUUCUUGAAAUCUCGAUUAGUCUCACAGUCUCAUUCAUUUUUCUACAUCUCAAAAAGAACCAAGAUGGAAAUAUAAAGAAAAGUAUAUAUCUUGUAAUUUUUCAAUUCUUGAAAAAAAAAAGAAAGAAAAAAAGAAAAAGAACGCAUGCACUUACCUCACUGAACAAAUUGAAUCCACAGCCAUUUUGAAUUAUAUCAAUCUCAAAUACUGUCACAAAAAGAGUCCCAUGAAGCAAACGUGGCAUUCUUUUCAAUCUUUGUAAUUAAUCACCGGAGCAGAAAGGGGUAAAAAUAUGCCUGUAAGAAUUGCAACAUCCACAAGAAGAAAGGUUCGCUAGCAUAUAGCACCAACCCUAAUUCAAGAAAUAAGUAAAAGAGUUGCAGUAGUAAGAUUCAAUACUUGGAGAUGGCGAUGACAAACCUUGUGGAGAAAUCUGGUGUACUGUUAAGAGAUUCAAGAUAAGUUUUUAUCAUUAUUUAUAGAUAUGGAGAGAGAAAAAUAGAAUAUCAUGCAUUUUGAAGAUGAAGGAAGAGAUAUAUUUCUCAAUAGGGUUCAAGUUAGAAUCAAUUCCCGCCUUUGCUUCCUUGGAUUUCAAGUGUCAAGCCAUUGUAAUGUAAUUCCACUUUAUAGUUUUGUUAUGAAUUUCAAUGGAAUAUUCUUUAUGGAACUCUCCGGUCUCUGAAAUCCACAAUUUGAAUUCAUAUCGGGUAGGUGCACUGGCUUGACUAAUUUGAAUUAUUUUUUUUAAUUUAAUCAUCCUCCCGAUUGUUUAAAGGACUCUAUACAUAGAGCUUAAACUUAAGACUUUUGGUUAAAGGAGAAGGAAUCUCGGACUCUAUACAUAGAGCUUAAACAUAAGACUUUUGGUUAAAGGAGAAAGAAUCUCUGUUAUUUCAUCUCACCUUUCGGUAUAGAGUUAAGUUUUUCUUGAUAAUUAAGGUUUGAAUCGAAGAUAUAUUCCUCUUUAGGCCCUGAAUCUUCUAUUAAUAACUCCGACUAAAUGGGCUUCAUAAUAUCCACUAAAGAUUGAAUUGGGCUUCUGAUUCAAGACACUACAAAAAGAAGUUUUCGAAGCAAGUUGGGCCCAGCAUAUCAUGUACGAAAUGGAGAAAAAAUUCUAAUGGGCUUAAGGUGACACCGAAGAUGAAAAGGACAUAUCAAGAAGGGGAUCAUGGUUAUAAUUUGUGCAGAUUAAUGAGGCAAAGAAGCAGAACCACAUCUGACCUGAAUUUAUAUUUUCUAAAAAAAAAAAAAAUUAAGCACCACUAAAUUAGUCUCCUUAUAAAUAUGCAUAACCAGAAGGUUGACAUUCAUUAAUAAAUCCAAAAGCUUCAGACAGUCCAACAAAUUAAUUAAUUUAAAAGACGAAAUAGAGGACUUAGUCUUCUUCUCCAAACAAAAAACAUAUGUAUUUGUUCAUCAAUGGUUUUUUUCAAGUCAAUCAACUUCCAACUGAAAGAGAGACUUUCUUCUAUGUAUUUAUUCUUAUGGAACUCCAAAAAUCGUCGGGUAUGCUGUGUUGCUUUGCUCUUUCGUCUUUAAUUCUCAGUCCCUUUGAUGAUUGAUCAACCGCGUUAAUUGUAGAAGGUUUAGCACAGCAUCCAAAACAACCUCUGCUCUGUUACAAAUCAGGUUUCACCAUAAACAUGAUUACCACCAGUGAUCAACAAAUUAAACCUCAUUUCAGCUAUAGCAGCUUGAUUGAAGACUGAAAAGGUUCCACAAAUUAAAAAAAGUGUGCUAGAAGAAUAAAAUCAAGCAUUCUCAUAUUGAAACACAGUUUCGUUUGUUAAGCUAUACGUCCUGGUGGGUCCUCCACCAGAAAAAAAGGAGAAAAAUAUCAAGAAAAGAGAAAGUGGCAAACUAGAAAACUAAUUCUAGUCUUGCAGCAUGUUGUUAAGUGAAAAAAAAUCCCAACGGCAAUCACAUCACAUUCUUUGGCCCAAAAAGAAAAUUACAAAGUAUGAUAGUCUACUAAGCAAGCCAAAAAAAUAUUUCAUUAAAAUAUCUCCAAUGCCAAUAUCCAUUAAAACAAACAGAGCUUAGCAUGAUCAAAAUCAUCGCAAGGAUAUAAAUUUCAUCAUCAAAUUAAAAGUUAUUAUCUACUAGGUCUACGAAGACUGGAACCAAAUUGUUCAAUAUAUCAUUUUUGACCCAAAGAAAGCUAAAAUUUCAUAGAUUAGCUGCCUCAGUGUGCAUGUAUGAUAUUUGUAUCAUAGUUGCUCCAAAUUAGCUUAGCUGAAACAAAGUUCAAUUGAAGCCAGGAAACAACACUACUGCUAAACAAUGCGUGUAUUCAGCAAAAAAAGAAAAGAAAAGAAAAGAACAGCCAUCCUCUCUUGG